GGGUUGUGAGGUUAAGCGACUAAGCGUACACGGUGGAUGCCCUGGCAGUCAGAGGCGAUGAAGGACGUGCUAAUCUGCGAUAAGCGUCGGUAAGGUGAUAUGAACCGUUAUAACCGGCGAUUUCCGAAUGGGGAAACCCAGUGUGAUUCGUCACACUAUCAUUAACUGAAUCCAUAGGUUAAUGAGGCGAACCGGGGGAACUGAAACAUCUAAGUACCCCGAGGAAAAGAAAUCAACCGAGAUUCCCCCAGUAGCGGCGAGCGAACGGGGAGCAGCCCAGAGCCUGAAUCAGUGUGUGUGUUAGUGGAAGCGUCUGGAAAGGCGCGCGAUACAGGGUGACAGCCCCGUACACAAAAAUGCACAUGCUGUGAGCUCGAUGAGUAGGGCGGGACACGUGGUAUCCUGUCUGAAUAUGGGGGGACCAUCCUCCAAGGCUAAAUACUCCUGACUGACCGAUAGUGAACCAGUACCGUGAGGGAAAGGCGAAAAGAACCCCGGCGAGGGGAGUGAAAAAGAACCUGAAACCGUGUACGUACAAGCAGUGGGAGCACGCUUAGGCGUGUGACUGCGUACCUUUUGUAUAAUGGGUCAGCGACUUAUAUUCUGUAGCAAGGUUAACCGAAUAGGGGAGCCGAAGGGAAACCGAGUCUUAACUGGGCGUUAAGUUGCAGGGUAUAGACCCGAAACCCGGUGAUCUAGCCAUGGGCAGGUUGAAGGUUGGGUAACACUAACUGGAGGACCGAACCGACUAAUGUUGAAAAAUUAGCGGAUGACUUGUGGCUGGGGGUGAAAGGCCAAUCAAACCGGGAGAUAGCUGGUUCUCCCCGAAAGCUAUUUAGGUAGCGCCUCGUGAAUUCAUCUCCGGGGGUAGAGCACUGUUUCGGCAAGGGGGUCAUCCCGACUUACCAACCCGAUGCAAACUGCGAAUACCGGAGAAUGUUAUCACGGGAGACACACGGCGGGUGCUAACGUCCGUCGUGAAGAGGGAAACAACCCAGACCGCCAGCUAAGGUCCCAAAGUCAUGGUUAAGUGGGAAACGAUGUGGGAAGGCCCAGACAGCCAGGAUGUUGGCUUAGAAGCAGCCAUCAUUUAAAGAAAGCGUAAUAGCUCACUGGUCGAGUCGGCCUGCGCGGAAGAUGUAACGGGGCUAAACCAUGCACCGAAGCUGCGGCAGCGACGCUUAUGCGUUGUUGGGUAGGGGAGCGUUCUGUAAGCCUGCGAAGGUGUGCUGUGAGGCAUGCUGGAGGUAUCAGAAGUGCGAAUGCUGACAUAAGUAACGAUAAAGCGGGUGAAAAGCCCGCUCGCCGGAAGACCAAGGGUUCCUGUCCAACGUUAAUCGGGGCAGGGUGAGUCGACCCCUAAGGCGAGGCCGAAAGGCGUAGUCGAUGGGAAACAGGUUAAUAUUCCUGUACUUGGUGUUACUGCGAAGGGGGACGGAGAAGGCUAUGUUGGCCGGGCGACGGUUGUCCCGGUUUAAGCGUGUAGGCUGGUUUUCCAGGCAAAUCCGGAAAAUCAAGGCUGAGGCGUGAUGACGAGGCACUACGGUGCUGAAGCAACAAAUGCCCUGCUUCCAGGAAAAGCCUCUAAGCAUCAGGUAACAUCAAAUCGUACCCCAAACCGACACAGGUGGUCAGGUAGAGAAUACCAAGGCGCUUGAGAGAACUCGGGUGAAGGAACUAGGCAAAAUGGUGCCGUAACUUCGGGAGAAGGCACGCUGAUAUGUAGGUGAAGCGACUUGCUCGUGGAGCUGAAAUCAGUCGAAGAUACCAGCUGGCUGCAACUGUUUAUUAAAAACACAGCACUGUGCAAACACGAAAGUGGACGUAUACGGUGUGACGCCUGCCCGGUGCCGGAAGGUUAAUUGAUGGGGUCAGCGCAAGCGAAGCUCUUGAUCGAAGCCCCGGUAAACGGCGGCCGUAACUAUAACGGUCCUAAGGUAGCGAAAUUCCUUGUCGGGUAAGUUCCGACCUGCACGAAUGGCGUAAUGAUGGCCAGGCUGUCUCCACCCGAGACUCAGUGAAAUUGAACUCGCUGUGAAGAUGCAGUGUACCCGCGGCAAGACGGAAAGACCCCGUGAACCUUUACUAUAGCUUGACACUGAACAUUGAGCCUUGAUGUGUAGGAUAGGUGGGAGGCUUUGAAGUGUGGACGCCAGUCUGCAUGGAGCCGACCUUGAAAUACCACCCUUUAAUGUUUGAUGUUCUAACGUUGACCCGUAAUCCGGGUUGCGGACAGUGUCUGGUGGGUAGUUUGACUGGGGCGGUCUCCUCCUAAAGAGUAACGGAGGAGCACGAAGGUUGGCUAAUCCUGGUCGGACAUCAGGAGGUUAGUGCAAUGGCAUAAGCCAGCUUGACUGCGAGCGUGACGGCGCGAGCAGGUGCGAAAGCAGGUCAUAGUGAUCCGGUGGUUCUGAAUGGAAGGGCCAUCGCUCAACGGAUAAAAGGUACUCCGGGGAUAACAGGCUGAUACCGCCCAAGAGUUCAUAUCGACGGCGGUGUUUGGCACCUCGAUGUCGGCUCAUCACAUCCUGGGGCUGAAGUAGGUCCCAAGGGUAUGGCUGUUCGCCAUUUAAAGUGGUACGCGAGCUGGGUUUAGAACGUCGUGAGACAGUUCGGUCCCUAUCUGCCGUGGGCGCUGGAGAACUGAGGGGGGCUGCUCCUAGUACGAGAGGACCGGAGUGGACGCAUCACUGGUGUUCGGGUUGUCAUGCCAAUGGCACUGCCCGGUAGCUAAAUGCGGAAGAGAUAAGUGCUGAAAGCAUCUAAGCACGAAACUUGCCCCGAGAUGAGUUCUCCCUGACUCCUUGAGAGUCCUGAAGGAACGUUGAAGACGACGACGUUGAUAGGCCGGGUGUGUAAGCGCAGCGAUGCGUUGAGCUAACCGGUACUAAUGAACCGUGAGGCUUAACCUUACAACGCCGAAGCUGUU
This 2929-nucleotide ribosomal RNA is filed under the name Escherichia coli. Its description in RNAcentral is "bacterial LSU rRNA". It matches the Rfam family "Bacterial large subunit ribosomal RNA". Lineage: Bacteria; Pseudomonadati; Pseudomonadota; Gammaproteobacteria; Enterobacterales; Enterobacteriaceae. The record is from RNAcentral.